CCUACGGGAGGCAGCAGUGGGGAAUAUUGGACAAUGGGCGCAAGCCUGAUCCAGCAAUGCCGCGUGGGUGAAGAAGGUCUUCGGAUUGUAAAGCCCUUUCGACGGGGACGAUGAUGACGGUACCCGUAGAAGAAGCCCCGGCUAACUUCGUGCCAGCAGCCGCGGUAAU
RNAcentral lists this ribosomal RNA (169 nucleotides) under uncultured bacterium WkA17. Its description in RNAcentral is "partial 16S ribosomal RNA". It matches the Rfam family "Bacterial small subunit ribosomal RNA", at positions 338 to 524 of the family's 1533-position model. The record is from RNAcentral.